GGCCAAUCAGGGGUUUUCAGGCCUGUGUGUGAAUGGAGUUCUUGCUCUAAGUCCUCCGAGGUUUUGAGACAUCAUCUGCGAGACAUCACUCUGGAGUAACCAACUUGGACCACUGGAAACUCUGGUCAGUCUUGACUGUACUCAGCUGGAUUUGGCAUCACCUAGGAGAAACGCCUCUGGGCAUGUCUGUGAAGAUACAUCCAGGGAGGUUUACUUGAGGAGGGAAGACAUCCUGAAUGCUGGUGUCACCAUCCCAUCACCUGGCGUUCUGAACUGUAUAAAAAGGAGAAAGUGAGCUGAGCACUAGCAACCUGCUUCCCGGCUACAGAUGCAGUGUGACCCGCUGCCUCAGGCUCUCGCCCUGAUGGACGGUGCCUGUGGGGCACGAGCCAGAGUAAACCCUCCCUUCCUGAACUUGGUUUUGUUACCUCAACAAUGAAAGUAAAAACACAACAGGAAAGGUGAAGAAGUGUCUUACUUCACGGCUCCACUUUCAGAACCAGCUAUUGACUAAUUAGCUUCGCUGAACCGAAGAAAAAGAAUCUGCUUUGAUUUCUUUGCCUGGGGGCAAUUUAAUAAAGUGGGGGGUGAGUGGAGGCAGUGAGGAGGGUGGUCCGUAAAUAACUGCUCUCACCAUCUCCCACAUCUGGACAGAAUGUCCUGGGAGGAAGUUGUAUACACAGUUAAUGAUGUGUUUUGUUAGUAUUCAAGUUCGCUGUGACUAUUUGGUGGCAAUUUCUUUAAAAGCAUGCUUUUAGAGCAGAAAGAAUCUUCUGGGUGGGAGGGGAAAUGAGUUAACGUAAAAUCUACUCUGAGUGUGCACAGUCACCACACUCUCCGAGGUGGCUGCUGCAGGCACAGGAUAGCGACCUCCGCGCAGAGAGAGUUUGAUAAAAACGUCAGCAGGACGGCGGGGGCUGGCCCAUGGCAUGUUCUCUGGGGUUUCCCAAGCCCGGCGGCAGCUUGCACACUGCUUGCUUGUUGCCUUGUGGCCAGCUUAGGGUAACAUCUCUUACGGGUAACCCCACCCACACCAUAUGUCUUUAGCCCUUUAAUCCAAGGUUUUCCUCAGCAAUAAACACCCCCUUCAGGAAGCAUCCAGGGCAUGCUUUGCAGUUGAGGUUCAAUGGAGGACCCAUACACAAGCUGAGCUGAGACCCAAGUUUACUGUUCUGUCUACUAAUGAUGCUGUUGCCCUCUAGGCUGACUGGGAAGGGCUCUGGAACUGGAAUUCUGCUGCAAGGCACAGGGCCCUGAUUAAUGCUCCUGCCCUUCACUGCUUGAAAUCCCUGGAGCCUGGGGUAUAGAUAUGCCAAAUGUAUGAAUGUGCUGCAUUUUACACCAAAAGAGUCUUGUCACUUUAAAUUAAGGACCAGGGAUGGCAAGUCUCCUGAUGAUAUAGUCUGUUUCUAGAAUGUUCGCCAUGCACUUGUGUGUUGAAGGCUUGGUUUCCAGCGUGUGGUGCUAUUGGGAGGUGGUGAAUCUUUUCGGGAUGGGGCUUGGUGUGAGGUUUUAAUUCACUGAGUUGAUAUGACCUUGAAGGAGACUGUGGGACUCCAGGAACUUCCCUUUUAUGUUGCUGUACAACCUUCAAGAGGUAAACCAUUUUCUCCAAUGUGUGCUCUGCAACCCUUAAGCAGUGAGCCAACUGAACACAAACCUUCCAAGCUGUGAGCUAAAACAAAUGCUUCAUCUUUAAGUUCACUGUCUCGGGGUUUUGCUAUACUAACAGCUGACGAACGUAUCUAUAUGGUCUUGGAAUGCCCAGAAUGGAUGGCAGAAUUUCCUACCCCAAAUCAUGCUACUUUAGCAUCAGGAUUAUUGUAACUGAGAAAAAACUGAUACAAUGAAGCUUUUUGUCUGCCCUCCACUGACUUGUCUACUGGCAGGGCAUGGAUUUGUGAAUGUGUUUCCACCUCUUCUGUGAGGAGGGCUAGAAAUUCAUCAGGAGAUGAUGAUAGACACAUAUCAGCCUGUGACAUCAGAGGAGUCUGACCACAGCUCUUACCACCCUGCUCUACCAUGACAUUUUCCAUGUAUCUAUCUCCUGUGGCUUGCCACUUCUGGGGACUCACAGGUCCCUCCUUUGUCUGGCUGCUGCUUUAUAGGAUGGACUGUCGUUCAGUGACGAUGUUGUUGUCUUAUGUAUUAGUAACUUUUAUGUUGCUGUGAUAAAACGUUAUGACCAAAGGUAA
Molecule: long non-coding RNA, 2195 nt
Organism: Peromyscus californicus insignis
Lineage: Eukaryota; Metazoa; Chordata; Mammalia; Rodentia; Cricetidae
Exons: 2
Source: RefSeq, a predicted model, not a curated record